UGAUCCUGGCUCAGGAUGAACGCUAGCGGCAGGCUUAACACAUGCAAGUCGAGGGGUAGAAGUCUUCGGACUUUGAGACCGGCGCACGGGUGCGUAACGCGUAUGCAAUCUGCCUUUCACAGAGGGAUAGCCCAGAGAAAUUUGGAUUAAUACCUCAUAGUAUAACACAACCGCAUGGUUGAGUUAUUAAAGUCACAACGGUGAAAGAUGAGCAUGCGUCCCAUUAGCUAGUUGGUAAGGUAACGGCUUACCAAGGCAACGAUGGGUAGGGGUCCUGAGAGGGAGAUCCCCCACACUGGUACUGAGACACGGACCAGACUCCUACGGGAGGCAGCAGUGAGGAAUAUUGGACAAUGGGCGCAAGCCUGAUCCAGCCAUGCCGCGUGCAGGAUGACGGUCCUAUGGAUUGUAAACUGCUUUUGCACAGGAAGAAACAGCUCUACGUGUAGAGUCUUGACGGUACUGUGAGAAUAAG
Molecule: ribosomal RNA, 475 nt
Filed under: Flavobacterium sp. DB3.3-15
Lineage: Bacteria; Pseudomonadati; Bacteroidota; Flavobacteriia; Flavobacteriales; Flavobacteriaceae
Description: bacterial SSU rRNA
Rfam family: Bacterial small subunit ribosomal RNA
Source: RNAcentral